GCAAGUCGAGGGGUAACAGAGGUGCUUGCACUUGCUGACGACCGGCGCACGGGUGCGUAACGCGUAUACAAUCUGCCUUGUACUGAGGGAUAGCCUUUGGAAACGAAGAUUAAGACCUCAUGGUAUUACCGUAUUGCAUAAUAUGGUAAUUAAAGGUUACGGUACAAGAUGAGUAUGCGUCCUAUUAGCUAGAUGGUGUGGUAACGGCACACCAUGGCUACGAUAGGUAGGGGCCCUGAGAGGGGGAUC
Molecule: ribosomal RNA, 249 nt
Filed under: uncultured bacterium
Lineage: Bacteria
Description: partial 16S ribosomal RNA
Rfam family: Bacterial small subunit ribosomal RNA
Source: RNAcentral